GAUGAAGAACGUAGCGAAAUGCGAUAAGUAAUGCGAAUUGCAGAAUUUCCGUGAGUCAUCGAAUCUUUGAACGCACAUUGCGCCCCUUGGUAUUCCGGGGGGCAUGCCUCUUCCAGCGUCAUUUCACCCCUCAAGCUCUGCUUGGUUUUGGGCCGCGCCGGCAACGGCGGGCCUCGAAAAUAGUGGCGACGCCAUCGUGCUCUCAGCGUAGUAAUUCUUCUCGCUGUUGGGUCCCGGUGGUCGUCCGCCAGCAACCCCCAACUUUCUUAAGUUUGACCUGGGAUGAGGUAGGGAUACCCGCUGAACUUAAGCAUAUCAAUAAGCGGAGGA
This 330-nucleotide unclassified non-coding RNA is filed under the name soil metagenome. RNAcentral's name for it is "partial contains 5.8S ribosomal RNA, internal transcribed spacer 2, and large subunit ribosomal RNA". The stretch from base 1 to 121 matches the Rfam family "5.8S ribosomal RNA", at positions 35 to 154 of the family's 154-position model. The record is from RNAcentral.